Molecule: long non-coding RNA, 328 nt
Filed under: Setaria italica (foxtail millet)
Lineage: Eukaryota; Viridiplantae; Streptophyta; Magnoliopsida; Poales; Poaceae
Description: long non-coding RNA (SITA_LNC004178)
Source: RNAcentral
UUAAAGCUCCGAUCGCGGCCGAAACAAAUGGCCACGCAUCAUCCACGCAGUGCAGUGGACCGGAGCAUAAAACGUGGAGCUACAAAGGCUCUCCCUGCAACUUACCACUACACUACUGGAAGAAGGAAUUCCAUCCUUCCUUGGAAUAACAAACAAGUCACUUUCUUUGGACACCGACCGCUUCGUGAUCGCUCCUACUAGACCACAAGUACGACGACGCAUCAUCAUUUUGUCCGGGAUUUUCCACACUUUCCCACACGCGUCCGUCCGCCUUGCUUGCUCCCAUCACAUGAACGGCAUAAUUGCUGAAAUCACGCGCCCUACCCCC